GUGUCAGCAGCCGCGGUAAUACGUAGGGGGCGAGCGUUGUUCGGAUUUACUGGGCGUAAAGAGCGCGUAGGCGGUUCGAUAAGUCGGAGGUGAAAUCCCUCGGCUCAACCGAGGACCCGCGUCCGAUACUGUCGAACUUGAGUGCAGGAGAGGAGAGCGGAAUUCCCAGUGUAGCGGUGAAAUGCGUAGAUAUUGGGAGGAACACCGGUGGCGAAGGCGGCUCUCUGGACUGUCACUGACGCUGAGGUGCGAAAGCUAGGGGAGCAAACGGGAUUAGAUACCCCCGUAGUCC
This 292-nucleotide ribosomal RNA is filed under the name uncultured bacterium. RNAcentral's name for it is "partial 16S ribosomal RNA". It matches the Rfam family "Bacterial small subunit ribosomal RNA", at positions 505 to 796 of the family's 1533-position model. The record is from RNAcentral.